GAUGAACGCUGGCGGCGUGCCUAACACAUGCAAGUCGAACGAGAUGCGUAUCGGAAAGCUUCGGCCGGAAGAUGCGUUAUCUAGUGGCGGACGGGUGAGUAACACGUGGGUAACCUGCCUUAUGGAGGGGGAUAACAGAGAGAAAUCACUGCUAAUACCGCAUAAGCACACAUUGCUGCAUGGCAGAGUGUGAAAAGAUUUAUCGCCAUAAGAUGGACCCGCGUCUGAUUAGCCAGUUGGCAGGGUAAAAGCCUACCAAAGCAACGAUCAGUAGCCGAUCUGAGAGGAUGACCGGCCACAUUGGGACUGAGACACGGCCCAAACUCCUACGGGAGGCAGCAGUGGGGAAUAUUGCACAAUGGGGGAAACCCUGAUGCAGCGACGCCGCGUGAGUGAAGAAGUAUUUCGGUAUGUAAAGCUCUAUCAGCAGGGAAGAUAAUGACAGUACCUGACUAAGAAGCCCCGGCUAACUACGUGCCAGCAGCCGCGGUAAUACGUAGGGGGCAAGCGUUAUCCGGAUUUACUGGGUGUAAAGGGAGCGUAGACGGAGUGGCAAGUCUGAAGUGAAAACCCUGGGCUUAACCUGGGGACUGCUUUGGAAACUGUUAAUCUAGAGUGUUGGAGAGGUAAGUGGAAUUCCUGGUGUAGCGGUGAAAUGCGUAGAUAUCAGGAAGAACACCGGACGCGAAGGCGGCUUACUGGACAAUAACUGACGUUGAGGCUCGAAAGCGUGGGGAUCAAACAGG
This 746-nucleotide ribosomal RNA is filed under the name uncultured Oribacterium sp. RNAcentral's name for it is "bacterial SSU rRNA". It matches the Rfam family "Bacterial small subunit ribosomal RNA", at positions 28 to 776 of the family's 1533-position model. Lineage: Bacteria; Bacillati; Bacillota; Clostridia; Lachnospirales; Lachnospiraceae. The record is from RNAcentral.